RNAcentral lists this ribosomal RNA (253 nucleotides) under uncultured bacterium. RNAcentral describes it as "partial 16S ribosomal RNA". It matches the Rfam family "Bacterial small subunit ribosomal RNA", at positions 524 to 776 of the family's 1533-position model. The record is from RNAcentral.
UACAGAGGGUGCAAGCGUUGUUCGGAAUUACUGGGCGUAAAGGGCGCGUAGGCGGUUUAGUAAGUCAGAUGUGAAAGCCCGGGGCUCAACUCCGGAAUUGCAUUUGAAACUGCUAGGCUAGAGUGCAGUAGAGGAUGGCGGAAUACCUAGUGGAGAGGUGAAAUUCGUAGAUAUUAGGUGGAACACCGGUGGCGAAGGCGGCCAUCUGGGCUGUAACUGACGCUGAGGCGCGAGAGCGUGGGGAGCAAACAGG